CAAUAGCGUAUAUUAAAGUUGUUGCAGUUAAAAAGCUCGUAGUUGGAUUUCUGGUGGGAGCGAUCGGUCUGGCGCUUAGCGCGAGUACUUGCAUCGUCUCCGGCCAUCCUUGGGGAGAGUCUGUCUGGCAUUAGGUUGUCGGGCAGAGGAUCCUCAUCGUUUACUGUGAAAAAAUUAGAGUGUUCAAAGCAGGCUUAUGCCGUUGAAUAUAUUAGCAUGGAAUAAUAAGAUAGGACUUUGGUACUAUUUUGUUGGUUUGCGCACCAAAGUAAUGAUUGAUAGGGACAGUUGGGGGUAUUCGUAUUCCGUUGUCAGAGGUGAAAUUCUUGGAUUUACGGAAGACGAACUACUGCGAAAGCAUUUACCAAGGAUGUUUUCAUUAA
This 383-nucleotide ribosomal RNA is filed under the name uncultured eukaryote. Its description in RNAcentral is "partial 18S ribosomal RNA". It matches the Rfam family "Eukaryotic small subunit ribosomal RNA", at positions 592 to 976 of the family's 1831-position model. The record is from RNAcentral.